UUGAGUAAAAUACUAUCUACUAGCAGCACCAUUUUCGACAUGUUUUGUGUUCGCGGCAUUUUUGACGUAGCUGCGUUCUUGCUUCUUUGCAUUGGUGUGUUCAGGUAUCAACGAAGGUGUUGAAAAGCUCGAGAUAGUGAAUCAAUUUCAAGAAGACGUCGUGACUGAUGAAUUUCAAGAGGUUGAUUUGAAUGAUGAAUUACAAGCAGAUAAAUUUGAACGAAUUGGAUGGUGUCUUAUUUAGGAUUGUAGUUGAAAGCAUUCAACUUGAGUGAAAUAUGUUUUUGGUUAUUUUGUUAGACUUGUAUUUCAAAGUAUUAAACUUAUUAUGUAAUGUUCAACAUUUUCUUACCACUGUAUAUUGAAUUAAUGUUCGAACCAUUUUAUUAUAAUAUAACUUUUGUCUAUGAGUUGUUGAA
Long non-coding RNA from Medicago truncatula (barrel medic), 419 nucleotides. RefSeq lists it as uncharacterized. NCBI's taxonomy places the organism in Eukaryota, Viridiplantae, Streptophyta, Magnoliopsida, Fabales, Fabaceae. The transcript is spliced from 2 exons. The record is from RefSeq and is a predicted model, not a curated record.